GGGGAAUUUUCCGCAAUGGGCGAAAGCCUGACGGAGCAAGACCGCGUGGGGGAUGAAGGUUUGUGGAUUGUAAACCCCUUUUGAUUGGGAAGAAUACUGACGGUACCAAUCGAAUAAGCCUCGGCUAACUCCGUGCCAGCAGCCGCGGUAAUACGGAGGAGGCAAGCGUUAUCCGGAAUUAUUGGGCGUAAAGCGUCCGUAGGUGGUUUAGUAAGUCUGCUGUUAAAGCGCGGGGCUUAACUCCGUAUCGGCAGUGGAAACUACUAGACUAGAGUGUGGUAGGGGUAGAGGGAAUUCCCAGUGUAGCGGUGAAAUGCGUAGAUAUUGGGAAGAACACCGGUGGCGAAAGCGCUCUACUGGGCCAUAACUGACACUGAUGGACGAAAGCUAGGGGAGCGAAAGGGAUUAGAUACCCCUGUAGU
Molecule: ribosomal RNA, 422 nt
Filed under: uncultured cyanobacterium
Lineage: Bacteria; Bacillati; Cyanobacteriota
Description: bacterial SSU rRNA
Rfam family: Bacterial small subunit ribosomal RNA
Source: RNAcentral